GGGGGCGAUCUGGCUUCGACGUGGGUAACAAAACCUGAGGUGCAUGCCGAGAGGGUAGUGACUCUCGUAAAACAAUCGCUGCAACUUCUUAUAGUUGCCAACGACGAAAACUACGCACUAGCGGCCUAAAACCCCGCUUACGUCAAUGAUCCGUGCCUGUGCGGUGAAAUUGACGGCAAGGUUCACAGGAUCGCGCGGCGGCCUCGCCCGGGGCCAAAGCGUUAAAACCAAUCGGGCUCGCCGACCGCACCCUGACCGUCGGGUCGCGAGAGGCUAAAUCAAUAGACGGAGCCUAAGCAUGUAGAGCCGAGGGUGGCGUGCCAACGGACGCGGGUUCAACUCCCGCCGCCUCCACCA
Molecule: transfer-messenger RNA, 357 nt
Filed under: Pseudomonadales
Lineage: Bacteria; Pseudomonadati; Pseudomonadota; Gammaproteobacteria
Also listed under: 1 other name
Description: UBA7803 sp002480525 Standard tmRNA
Rfam family: transfer-messenger RNA
About the family: Bacterial tmRNA, also known as 10Sa RNA or SsrA, is named for its dual tRNA and mRNA-like properties.
Source: RNAcentral